GUCUACGGCCAUGCCACCCUGAACAAGUCCGAUCCCAUCUGAUCUCGGAGCAGGGUCGGGCCUGGUUAGUACUUGGAUGGGAGACCACCUAGGAAGACCAGGUGCUGUAGGUG
RNAcentral lists this ribosomal RNA (113 nucleotides) under Pteropus alecto (black flying fox). The record is from RNAcentral. Lineage: Eukaryota; Metazoa; Chordata; Mammalia; Chiroptera; Pteropodidae.